AGAAGUAUAGCUCAAGUGAUAGAGAACCUGCCUAACAAGUAUGAGGCCCUGAGUUCAAACCCCAGUACUUCCA
This 73-nucleotide transfer RNA is filed under the name Dipodomys ordii (Ord's kangaroo rat). It matches the Rfam family "tRNA". Rfam says of the family: Transfer RNA (tRNA) molecules are approximately 80 nucleotides in length. Their secondary structure includes four short double-helical elements and three loops (D, anti-codon, and T loops). Further hydrogen bonds mediate the characteristic L-shaped molecular structure. tRNAs have two regions of fundamental functional importance: the anti-codon, which is responsible for specific mRNA codon recognition, and the 3' end, to which the tRNAs corresponding amino acid is attached (by aminoacyl-tRNA synthetases). tRNAs cope with the degeneracy of the genetic code in two manners: having more than one tRNA (with a specific anti-codon) for a particular amino acid; and 'wobble' base-pairing, i.e. permitting non-standard base-pairing at the 3rd anti-codon position. Lineage: Eukaryota; Metazoa; Chordata; Mammalia; Rodentia; Heteromyidae. The record is from Rfam by way of RNAcentral.